AUGAACGCUGGCGGCGUGCCUAAUCCAUGCCCGUCGAGCGAACAGACGAGGAGCUUGCUCCUCUGACGUUAGCGGCGGACGGGUGAGUAACACGUGGAUAACCUACCUAUAAGACUGGGAUAACUUCGGGAAACCGGAGCUAAUACCGGAUAAUAUAUUGAACCGCAUGGUUCAAUAGUGAAAGACGGUUUUGCUGUCACUUAUAGAUGGAUCCGCGCCGCAUUAGCUAGUUGGUAAGGUAACGGCUUACCAAGGCAACGAUGCGUAGCCGACCUGAGAGGGUGAUCGGCCACACUGGAACUGAGACACGGUCCAGACUCCUACGGGAGGCAGCAGUAGGGAAUCUUCCGCAAUGGGCGAAAGCCUGACGGAGCAACGCCGCGUGAGUAAUGAAGGUCUUCGGAUCGUAAAACUCUGUUAUUAGGGAAGAACAAAUGUGUAAGUAACUAUGCACGUCUUGACGGUACCUAAUCAGAAAGCCACGGCUAACUACGUG
RNAcentral lists this ribosomal RNA (496 nucleotides) under uncultured bacterium. Its description in RNAcentral is "partial 16S ribosomal RNA". It matches the Rfam family "Bacterial small subunit ribosomal RNA", at positions 29 to 507 of the family's 1533-position model. The record is from RNAcentral.